Molecule: long non-coding RNA, 2539 nt
Organism: Tribolium castaneum (red flour beetle)
Lineage: Eukaryota; Metazoa; Arthropoda; Insecta; Coleoptera; Tenebrionidae
Exons: 3
Source: RefSeq, a predicted model, not a curated record
GCAUCAGGCCUAGGAGAUUUAGUUACCUUAAGUUUAUUUAAUUUGUCGCGUAGCUUGGCUUCAGUAAUAUUUAUAUUAUCGAUACACGAUUCAUUGGGUGCAGUAAGAGGGCAAGAAAUUGAGGUAGAAGGUUCAUCAGUAAAAACUUCGCAAAACUUAUCGGCAAACAUGUUGGCAUUUGUCAUGUCGUUCUCACAAAUGUCUCCCGACGCGUCUCUAAGUUUUGGUAUGGUUACAGGACCAUUGAGUUUGGUACGGAUGUAUUUAAAUAGUCUUUUGGAAUCGGCAGAGUUAAUAAUAUUUCUCUCGUAACGUGCCCUAGCAUCUCUAAUAAUCUUCGUCAAAUUGUUUGAAAAAGCCCUAUGAUUUUGAUAGUCUACUAUACUUCCGGUGCGCCUAUAAGCUCUCCAAAGCGCUCUCUUUUUAUUUAUUUGCCUCAAUAUUUUACUGUUUAUCCAAGGCUUCGACGAGGAUUGUUUCUUCACAAUUUUACGUGAACAGCUCUUUACUAAGGAGUAUACCGUAUCUUUGAAAAUUUCCCACAUGCAUUCAGUGGACAGAUUCAAAAGCACUGCAUUCCAAUUAAUCUUACUGAGUUUCUCAUUCAACUCGUCGAAGUUGGUAGACAGUUUAGUUUGACGGUUGACCCGGCCAACUGCAACUAAACACAGCUGAAGAUCAACCUUCAGCACGGUAUGGUCGGAUUUUCCAAGAGGACUGAGAUAUUGCAAACCACUGACAAGUGAUUCGUCAGUAGUCAAUAUAAGGUCAAGCACCGAAGGUGAUUGAUUGACCCGAAAGCGCGUAGGUUCCGAUAUUAUUUGAGAGAUCCGAGAAUCAGAAAGGAUAUCCAAAAAGAGCUGGGAGGAUGGCUUGAUAGCCUGAGGAGAAACUCGGCUCCAUACUAUAUCUGGCAUGUUAAAAUCACCAAAUAUGAGAGAAUCAUACUGGUCGGAGACCUUAACUAAGGCAUCAUAUAGCUUCAAGUCAUCGGUCAUAUCACAGUUAGGCGGUCUAUAUAUACAUGUAAGAACUAAGGUACAAUUGCUAUUAGUAAUUUUGAGGAAAAUCGAGUCAAUUGCACCCAGAUCAAACUGCAGAGGGGUGAUUAUAAAACUUUCAGCGAUAUCAUCGGCAACAUAAACACACACUCCCCCUCCUCUUUUGUGUAAUCUGUCCUUACGAUAAAGAAAGAGAGCGGGAUGGGUGGAUUUAACUAGCACUGACAAUUCGUCAAAUUUGGCUGUUAGUGAAGCGAUGUUUGUAUACAUUAUAGGUCUAACAAGAUGAUGUGAUAGUUUGGUUGAUUUUACGGUGUUGAAGAUGUUUACCAGAGUUUACGGACUUACUCCGUCUCCAUACCAGUGUAUGGGGCGGGCACUCGGUCACGCGGUAUAUUCUCAUAAGCUUUUUUAAUUCUUUUGCGCGUUCUCUUAAUUCUAUUCUGCAUGCUUCGAUGUUCAACCAAGGGAAAAAUAUCAAACAGCAUAGCCAGCAAUCCUUCGAUGUCGUCAGUGUACUUCAAAACCAAGUUAAGUAUAUCGUUUUCACCAACAACCUUUUCCAUUAGUUCUAUCAGCUCGCUGAAACUUAGCGGGUACUGGGCAUUUUCAACUAAUUCCUUGACUGGCUGCAACAAUUCCGGUGUAGGCGUCAGACUUUCUGUUGAAUCACAGGAUUUUUUUUUCUUAGGAUGUGGUGUAUCAAGGUCGUCAUCAUCUUCUGCAUGGGAAUCAGAGGAUCUCACGCAAUCUGGUAUAGGGGAAAUAUCGUCUGUGGGCGGUCGCUUAGACCCAACGUCGACAUUAGGGCAAUCUUGGGCAAAAUGCCCAAGUUGUCUACAUUUAAAGCAGACGUCGUCAAAAUUUAGAAAAAUGCGAUAGUUGGUGUCCUCGUAUUUCAGAACAAGAGAGGAGGGGAGAUCAAAGGAAUCUUCUGGUUGAACGUAAACCUGUCUGCGGAAACUUAAAACAUAGACUAAGGUAAAUCCUAUUCUUUUAACCAUUUCUUCAACAAUGGGGUGCGGAAUAGACGGGCACACAUUGGAUAGGAUAAUACGUCUUGCUGGGGUGCUCAGAAAUUAUUUGAUCGACGAACGAUUUAUUACUCAAGUAUAUGCAAAUCCGAUCAUUAGACAUUCUGGAAGCAAAACUAACAUUCUUAGGAGCAACUAUAUCACCUAUAGCCGCGACGUAAUCAACCAAUUUUAAAUCUUUAACGCCACCUAGCACAAUAGCUUGGUCCUUACUUGGGAACAAAGACUCAGAAGUCUCCAUUGGGAUUUAACAGAUAAUAAAAAAAAAAUAGAGAAAUUAGGCAUGUAUUAGCUGCACCCGCCAACCGGCGAGCGCAAAAAGGGAGCUCGAUAACCAGCCUUCUAAAGAAAACUGAUAUCACGCACUGCAAACAAUAUCAACGAGAAGAUAAGCGCCGGUUGAGAUACAUAAGCAAAGUAUGCCAAAAUCGGAACAGACUCACCGAAUUGCAAAACGACAGAUACGGAGCGCCCAAAAACGAACCGUUCACCUUCACUUCACAA